RNAcentral lists this ribosomal RNA (245 nucleotides) under uncultured bacterium. RNAcentral describes it as "partial 16S ribosomal RNA". It matches the Rfam family "Bacterial small subunit ribosomal RNA", at positions 524 to 768 of the family's 1533-position model. The record is from RNAcentral.
AACGUAGGAGGCAAGCGUUAUCCGGAUUUAUUGGGCGUAAAGCGCAUGCAGGUGGUUCCGCAAGUCGGGUGUGAAAGCUCCUGGCUUAACUGGGAGAGGUCGUUCGAAACUGCGGGACUGGAGGUCGGAAGAGGGAAGCGGAAUUCCCGGUGUAGUGGUGGAAUGCGUAGAUAUCGGGAGGAACACCAGUGGCGAAAGCGGCUUCCUGGUCCGCACCUGACACUCAGAUGCGAAAGCGUGGGGAG